This 301-nucleotide ribosomal RNA is filed under the name uncultured bacterium. RNAcentral's name for it is "partial 16S ribosomal RNA". It matches the Rfam family "Bacterial small subunit ribosomal RNA", at positions 509 to 807 of the family's 1533-position model. The record is from RNAcentral.
CAGCAGCCGCGGGAAUACGUAGGGUGCGAGCGUUAAUCGGAAUUACAGGGCGUAAAGCGUGCGCAGGCGGUUCGUUAAGACAGAUGUGAAAUCCCCGGGCUCAACCUGGGAACUGCAUUUGUGACUGUAGAGCUGGAGUGCGGCAGAGGGGGAUGGAAUUCCGCGUGUAGCAGUGAAAUGCGUAGAUAUGCGGAGGAACACCGAUGGCGAAGGCAAUCCCCUGGGCCUGCACUGACGCUCAUGCACGAAAGCGUGGGGAGCAGACAGGAUUAGAUACCCCCGUAGUCCCUGUCUCUUAUAC